UCAAGCGAACAAGGGCGCAGGGCGAAUGCCUUGGCACUGGGAGCCGAUGAAAGACGUGAUAAGCUGCGAUAAGCUUCGGGGAGCUGCAAAUAAGCAUUGAUCCGGAGAUCUCUGAAUGAGGAAACUCACCUGGGUUCAUACUCAGGUACGUUAUACUGAACUUAAAAAUAGGUAUAUCGAGGGAACCGCCUGAACUGAAACAUCUAAGUAGGGCGAGGAAGAGACAUCAAACGAGAUUCCGUAAGUAGUGGCGAGCGAACGCGGAAGAGGGCAAACCGAGAGUAGAAAUACUUUCGGGGUACGGACUGCUUUUAAGACUUAAUCUGUUAACCGAACGGCAUGGGAAGGCCGGUCAGAGAGUGUGAGAACCACGUAGGUGAAAACGGAGAGAGCUGCGCAGGAUCCAGAGUACGGCCAGACACGUGAAACCUGGUCGGAAUACGGGGGGACCACCCUCCAACCCUAAAUACUACCCAGUGACCGAUAGCGUAUAGUACUGUGAAGGAAAGGUGAAAAGCACCCCGGGAGGGGAGUGAAAAAGAACCUGAAACCCUGUGCCUACAAGCACCUAGAGCACGUCAAUGUGUGAUAGGGUACUUUUUGUAGAACGGUCCGGCGAGCGAUUGUAUGCAGCAAGGUUAAGGACUUAAGGUCUGGAGCCGAAGCGAAAGCGAGUUUGAAAAGGGCGUUAAGUUGCAUAUAAUGGGCCCGAAACCGGGUGACCUACCCAUGGUCAGGUUGAAGUGGAAGUAAAAUUCCAUGGAGGACCGAACCGACCUCCGUUGAAAAGGCGGCGGAUGAACUGUGGGUAGCGGAGAAAUUCCAAUCGAACCCGGAGAUAGCUGGUUCUCCCCGAAAUAGUUUUAGGACUAGCCUCAAGUUAGAUACCUGGAGGUAAAGCACUGAAUAGCCUAGCGGCCGAGAGGUUAGCGAAGCUUAUCAAACUCAGAAUGCCAGAGUAUUGAUGCUUGGGAGUCAGACAGUGUCAGAUAAAUGUCAUUGUCAAAAGGGAAACAGCCCAGAUCUACAGCUAAGGUCCCAAAGUCAGGUUAAGUGGAAAACGAUGUGAAGAUACGCAGACAACCAGGAUGUUGGCUCAGAAGCAGCCACUCAUUCAAAGAGUGCGUAAUAGCUCACUGGUCGAGCGUCUUUGCGCGGAGAAUUUAACGGGGCUAAACCUGACACCGAAGCUUAGGCAAUACAGCAAUGUAUUGGGUAGGGGAGCGUUGUAUACGCGGAGAAACAGUAGCGCAAGCGGCUGUGGAGUGUAUAGAAGUGAGAAUGCCGGAAUGAGUAGCGCGAAUGCAGUGAGAAUCUGCAUGGCCGAAAGCCUCAGGUUUCUGGAGGAAGGUUCGUCCGCUCCAGGUUAGUCGGGAGCUAAGGUGAGGCCGGAAGGCGUAGCCGAUGCACAGACGGUAGAGAUUCCGUCACCACCAAAAGAGUUAAGCACAGGGACACAUAUGAAGUCUCAGAGCCGGGUGUUGGUUCCGGUAGAGAUCGAGGGAAAUUAGUACCGAAGUCUGAGAUGGAAGAUGGCGAGAAAAGCUGUGUGUAUUUCUGAGGUGCCCGUACCGCAAACCGACACAGGUAGGUAGGAAGAAGAUUCUAAGGCCAACGGGAGAAGGGUUGUUAAGGAACUCGGCAAAUUGACCCCGUAACUUCGGGAGAAGGGGUGCUCCAGAGAUGGAGCCGCAGAGAAUCGGCCCAAGCAACUGUUUACCAAAAACACAGGUUUGUGCUAAAUCGAAAGAUGACGUAUACGAGCUGACGCCUGCCCGGUGCUGGAAGGUUAAGAGGAGAUGUGCAAGCAUUGAAUCGAAGCCCCAGUGAACGGCGGCCGUAACUAUAACGGUCCUAAGGUAGCGAAAUUCCUUGUCAGGUA
RNAcentral lists this ribosomal RNA (1882 nucleotides) under metagenome. RNAcentral describes it as "bacterial LSU rRNA". It matches the Rfam family "Bacterial large subunit ribosomal RNA", at positions 3 to 1978 of the family's 2925-position model. The record is from RNAcentral.